GACGAACGCUGGCGGCGUGCUUAACACAUGCAAGUCGAACGCUGAAGCUCAGCUUUUGUUGGGUGGAUGAGUGGCGAACGGGUGAGUAACACGUGAGUAACCUGCCCCCUUCUUUGGGAUAACGCCCGGAAACGGGUGCUAAUACUGGAUAUUCACUGGUCUUCGCAUGGGGGUUGGUGGAAAGGGUUUUUCUGGUGGGGGAUGGGCUCGCGGCCUAUCAGCUUGUUGGUGGGGUGAUGGCCUACCAAGGCUUUGACGGGUAGCCGGCCUGAGAGGGGGACCGGUCACAUUGGGACUGAGAUACGGCCCAGACUCCUACGGGAGGCAGCAGUGGGGAAUAUUGCACAAUGGGCGCAAGCCUGAUGCAGCGACGCCGCGUGAGGGAUGGAGGCCUUCGGGUUGUGAACCUCUUUCGCUCAUGGUCAAGCCGCAACAAUGGUUGUGGUGAGGGUAGUGGGUAAAGAAGCGCCGGCUAACUACGUG
This 483-nucleotide ribosomal RNA is filed under the name uncultured bacterium. RNAcentral's name for it is "partial 16S ribosomal RNA". It matches the Rfam family "Bacterial small subunit ribosomal RNA", at positions 28 to 507 of the family's 1533-position model. The record is from RNAcentral.